GAUGAACGCUGGCGGCGUGCCUAAUACAUGCAAGUCGAGCGAACAGACGAUGAGCUUUCUCCUCUGCCGUUAGCGGCGGACGGGCGAGUAACACAUGGAUAACCUACCUCUAUUACUGGGAUAACAUCGGGAGACCGGUGCUAAUACUGGAUAAUAUAUUGAACCGCUUGGUUCAAUAGUGCAAGACGCUUUUGCUGUCACUUAUAGAUGGAUCCGCGCCGCAUUAGCUAGUUGGUAAGGUAACGGCUUACCAAGGCAACGAUGCGUAGCUGACCUGAGAGGAUGAUCAGCCACACUGGAACUGAGACACGGUCCAGACUCCUACGGGAGGCAGCAGUAGGGAAUAUUGCACAAUGGGCGAAAGCCUGACGGAGCAACACCGCGUGAGUGAUGAAGGUCUUCGGAUCGUAAAGCUCUUUUGUUAGGAAAGAAAAAAAGUGGGAGUAACUACGCCUGUCUUGACGGUACCCAAAGAGAAAGCCCCGGCUAACUACGUG
This 497-nucleotide ribosomal RNA is filed under the name uncultured bacterium. RNAcentral describes it as "partial 16S ribosomal RNA". It matches the Rfam family "Bacterial small subunit ribosomal RNA", at positions 28 to 507 of the family's 1533-position model. The record is from RNAcentral.